AUCUAAAUAGCUUAUGAAGAGCAUGAUAUUGAAGAUAUCAAGGAAAUAUAUAUUAUUUUUAGAUA
RNAcentral lists this transfer RNA (65 nucleotides) under Hermerius intermedia. RNAcentral's name for it is "tRNA-Phe". The record is from RNAcentral. Lineage: Eukaryota; Metazoa; Arthropoda; Insecta; Coleoptera; Cerambycidae.